AGAGAUGGCUGAAGACACAAUCAAAGCCCUCCCGACAGAUGGCCAUCCAGCCAUAGAUAUCAUUGAGAUAGGUAGGUAGGUAGAGAUGGCUGAAGACACAAUCAAAGCCCUCCCGACAGAUGGCCAUCCAGCCAUAGAUAUGAUUGAGAUAGAUAGGUAGGUAGAGAUGGCUGAAGACACAAUCAAAGCCUCCCCGACAGAUGCCCAUUCAGCCAUAGAUAGGAUUGAGAUAGAUAGAUAGGUAGGUAGAGAUGGCUGAAGACACAAUCAAAGCCCGCCUGACAGAUGGCCAUCCAGCCAUAGAUAUGAUUGAGAUAGAUAGGUAGGUAGGUAGAGAUGGCUGAAGACACAAUCAAAGCCCUCCCGACAGAUGGCCAUCCAGCCAUAGAUAUCAUUGAGAUAGAUAGAUAGAUAGGUAGAUAUGGCUGAAGACACAAAGCCCUCCCAACAGAUGGUCAUCCAGCCAUAGAUAGGAUUGAGAUAGAUAGGUAGGUAGAGAUGGCUGAAGACACAAUCAAAGCCCUCCCAAGAGAUGGCCAUCCAGCCAUAGAUAUCAUUGAGAUAGGUAGGUAGAGAUGGCUGAAGACACAAUCAAAGCCCUCCUGACAGAUGGCCAUCUAGCCAUAGAUAUCAUUGAGAUAGAUAGGUAGGCAGAUAUGGCUGAAGACACAAUCAAAGCCCUCCCGACAGAUGGCCAUCCAGCCAUAGAUAUGAUUGAGAUAGAUAGGUAGAUAGAUAUGGCUGCAGACCCAAUCAAAGCCCUCCCAAGAGAUGUCCAUCCAGCCAUAGAUAUCAUUGAGAUAGAUAGGUUGGUAGAUGUGGCGGAAGACACAAUCAAAGCCCUCCUGACAGAUGGCCAUCCAGCCAUAGGUAGGAUUGAGAUAGGUAGGUAGGUAGAGAUGGCUGAAGACACAAUCAAAGCCCUCCCAACAGAUGGCCAUCCAACCAUAGAUAUCAUUGAGAUAGAUAGGUAGGUAGCGAUGGCUGAAGGUAUUUAUAUAUGGUAGGGAUAGCAUAGAAAUUGUGCUGGAAGGGGUUCCCAAGGGCCAUCCAGUCCAGCCUGCUUCUGCCAGGUAGAGACACAAUCAAAGCCCUCUCGACAGAUGGCCAUCCAGCCAUAGAAAGGAGUGAGAUCAUUUUCUUUUACUUGCAUGAAAACAAGACCCUCGUUCCAUCGUUUUCUUGAUGUUCAUUCACUUAUUUUAUUUUCCACAUGUUUCAUCUAUAAAAGUACCGGACAACAGCCAUAUAAACGUGUAUGGUACAUGUACAGUUUCAACAAGACGCAAUAACGCACCACCGGAGAAACGGGGGGGGGGGGGGG
Molecule: long non-coding RNA, 1324 nt
Organism: Anolis carolinensis (green anole)
Lineage: Eukaryota; Metazoa; Chordata; Lepidosauria; Squamata; Anolidae
Exons: 2
Source: RefSeq, a predicted model, not a curated record